This 502-nucleotide ribosomal RNA is filed under the name uncultured Glomeromycotina. Its description in RNAcentral is "partial small subunit ribosomal RNA". It matches the Rfam family "Eukaryotic small subunit ribosomal RNA", at positions 591 to 1092 of the family's 1831-position model. The record is from RNAcentral. Lineage: Eukaryota; Fungi; Glomeromycota.
CCAAUAGCGUAUAUUAAAGUUGUUGCAGUUAAAAAGCUCGUAGUUGAACUUCGGGGUCUACCCAUUGGUCAGGCUUACUUGUCUGUACUGGUGUGAUGGAUCUCUACCUUCUGAGGAACUUUCAUGCCAUUUCUUUGGUGUGGUUGGAACUCAGGACUGUUACUUUGAAAAAAUUAGAGUGUUUAAAGCAGACUAUCGUCUGAAUACAUUAGCAUGGAAUAAUGAAAUAGGACGGACUGAUUCUAUUUCGUUGGUUUCUAGGAACACCGUAAUGAUUAAUAGGGAUAGUUGGGGGCAUUAGUAUUCAAUUGUCAGAGGUGAAAUUCUUUGAUUUAUUGUAGACUAACUACUGCGAAAGCAUUUGCCAAGGAUGUUUUCAUUAAUCAAGAACGAAAGUUAGGGGAUCGAAGACGAUCAGAUACCGUCGUAGUCUUAACCAUAAACUAUGCCGACUAGGGAUCGGACGAAGUUAAUUUUAUAAUGACUCAUUCGGCGCCUUACG